RNAcentral lists this ribosomal RNA (431 nucleotides) under Rothia dentocariosa. Its description in RNAcentral is "bacterial SSU rRNA". It matches the Rfam family "Bacterial small subunit ribosomal RNA", at positions 28 to 454 of the family's 1533-position model. Lineage: Bacteria; Bacillati; Actinomycetota; Actinomycetes; Micrococcales; Micrococcaceae. The record is from RNAcentral.
GACGAACGCUGGCGGCGUGCUUAACACAUGCAAGUCGAACGAUGAAGCCUAGCUUGCUAGGUGGAUUAGUGGCGAACGGGUGAGUAAUACGUGAGUGACCUACCUUUGACUCUGGGAUAAGCCUGGGAAACUGGGUCUAAUACCGGAUACGACCAAUCUCCGCAUGGGGUGUUGGUGGAAAGCGUUAUGGAGUGGUUUUAGAUGGGCUCACGGCCUAUCAGCUUGUUGGUGAGGUAAUGGCUUACCAAGGCGACGACGGGUAGCCGGCCUGAGAGGGUGACCGGCCACACUGGGACUGAGACACGGCCCAGACUCCUACGGGAGGCAGCAGUGGGGAAUAUUGCACAAUGGGCGCAAGCCUGAUGCAGCGACGCCGCGUGAGGGAUGACGGCCUUCGGGUUGUAAACCUUCUGUUAAGCAUUCGAAAGAAA